AUGGAAGUUUGCCAUGUAGAACAACCGAGGAUUAGUCAUGCAUGUAUCAUCUUCUCAAAGAGGAGCCGUGAUGGUAACAGCUCCCCCCAGUCCCAAGCCCUGGAUUCUACCCUGCAUGGUCCUGACGGCUUGUUCCAUCCACACCAAUUUCUCCUGCAUCAGUUAAGCUACUUGGAGGCCCCUAGGACAGCACUUCACUCAGAAGCCCCUGAGAGCUGGUGUGGUCCUGGGCAGGUGACUGGCAUUCCCGGGGAACUGGCUGCAGCUACACCUGCACCUGCAUUCAGAGGGGAGGCGUUUCCAGGAGAUGUUCAGACUGUCAGUUCCUAA
Molecule: long non-coding RNA, 330 nt
Filed under: Oryctolagus cuniculus (rabbit)
Lineage: Eukaryota; Metazoa; Chordata; Mammalia; Lagomorpha; Leporidae
Description: lncRNA (ENSOCUG00000033610.1)
Source: RNAcentral